UUGGCAGCCAUGGAGACUGAAAUCUCUUUGUUUCUUCUACAGAACAGGUACAGUACAGGAGAGGCAGUGCAAGCUUACCUACCCUAGCCUGCUAUGUUCCUCUUCUCUGACCUUCAGGGGUCACCUCUAGGGUGACUACAAAGUAGUUUAAUCCCCAUCUUGGUCUCUCUACUUAGGUUGG
Molecule: small RNA, 181 nt
Filed under: Sphenodon punctatus (tuatara)
Lineage: Eukaryota; Metazoa; Chordata; Lepidosauria; Sphenodontia; Sphenodontidae
Description: TUC338 (ENSSPUG00000014116.1)
Source: RNAcentral